This is a long non-coding RNA of Trichomycterus rosablanca, 2839 nucleotides long. RefSeq lists it as uncharacterized. The transcript is spliced from 5 exons. Lineage: Eukaryota; Metazoa; Chordata; Actinopteri; Siluriformes; Trichomycteridae. The record is from RefSeq and is a predicted model, not a curated record.
UCUCCGGUUGGCACUUCGUGAAGGAGCAGACGCUUGGAUGCCGCCCCUUUGUUUUCCAGAUCCUUCUUGAUGGUGGCCACGGGAACCUCCGUUCGACCUAGAAAGUCUGUUACAAGAGGACAGAGCGUAGCCUAUCCACUGCUGGGGACCCUGGCGGCAUCCAAGGAGGGUGUAUAUUCGCCUUACACACACCGAUGUGUGCAUCCCAUAAUUCAGUGGACCUGCGUGUGAGGUCGGCUUUGCGUACCCACGAUCUCUGCGCUCCUUCACUUGCUGUACAGGCGCUCUAACCAAGGUCCUUACACAGCGUUGAUAACCCCACCCCUUUAGCCCGGUCCUUCCCUCUGGAGGUCAACUGUGCCUGCUAGAGGAUGCCCACCUCACCGGUAGAAGAGCCGAGAUUCGAACCUGGGAGCUCAGAAUCUCGGCGUGGGAUUAUCCUGCUUGUGCCACCUGGCCAACGGGAUUGCUAUAUUAUGUCAAGCUGGACCUCCUUUAUCAGCUAUAACAGCCUUCACUCCAUUUAUGGAAUUUAGUCAAAACGGCAAAGGCUCAAGAUGAGACGGCCUGGCUCGCGAUCUACAAUCCAGCUCAUCCCAAAUGUGGUCAAUAAAGUUAAGGUCAGGGCUUUGUGAAAGCCACAAGAGUUCCUUAAAACUAUGGGUCCGUCCGAAAACCUCGAGAGCUCUCUACAUAGAAGCAUAUUACGCCCUCCUGCACGCUCCAGAGAAGAAGACUCUCCAAAUUCUUAGAUACCUUAAUGCUUCUACUGAGGUGCCUUAUUUCGAAGCGAUAAACUGACUGAAUGGGCUUGUCUCUACCAGCUGGACAGACCUACACCCCAAUUAUAAUCAUUAAACACACAGAAAAACACGACUGACCAUCAGGAGCGAACUGCCCGCGUUCGUAAAUAGUGAUGCAUAAGACGUCCUGAUACACGUCCCUGAUGUGAAACUGACAGUUGAAGUUCCACUUGGGGUUGAGCGUGUCGUUCAGCGACCGAGACGUGUAGCACUGCGCCCCCAUGGUCACUUCACAGUAUGAACUGCACUUUCCUGGUACAAAGGUAAACACAGAAAACAGGAGUGUUUAGCCUGAGCCUGGCGUGUAAGAAAGACCUACAAGGGGAUUAAAGACAGCAAAGCUUACCUCCCGGUUUGGAGGAUUUGAGCUCGGUGGCUUCCUGGACAGUGACGAGCAGACGACCAAUUCCACUGGCUUUCAUCGAGCGAGCUGAAUACAAGCACACAGCUUUGAUCUUCUGUACCCAAGCCGUCCUAGUGGAUAAAGUGCACAAUAAAGCAGCAGGGUGUAGACCCGGUUGAUGUGAGAGAUGUGGAACACGGGCUCGUCGCUGGACGGAUCGGACUGCAGCUUUACCAGGGCUUCGUUCAGGAACACAGGCUGACGAGGACAAGAAAUCUUGCCCACCUCCGUGAUGCCUUCACACUGCACGUGGCUCUGGAUCCACUCGAGCCUGUCCGAGUUCUCCUUUUCUCGCACGCCCUCGUUCACCUGAGAGCAGAGCUCCUCCGCCUUCUCCAGAGCCUGGCGCAGCUGAGCGUGAUCCACGUGACUGUCAGGGGUGCUUUCCAGGAUCUGAAAAACACACACAAACACACACAGAGUUAAGUACAGAACAUUUUCAUGUAUCUUGAUGUCACAUGACGGCAGCCUAUAGGAGUUACUCACAUUUUUGAUGUGGAGAGGGUAUCGAGUGAUUCUUUGCAUAGGCUUCAGUAGGAAACUUGACAGGGGCAUUCCUUUACACCGAUAAUCUGUAGCGAUUUUCUGAAGACAAAAAAAUUAUAAUAAUACACCUAAUUAAAAUAGUUAAAAGAAAAUGACUUAAUGAGUUAAUGACCUCAGGUUUACUGGUUAAUUCGCACCAUCAGGCAGUCCUAGCAAUCCUAGUCAAAGUUCUAGUCAGUGUGCGCGCACCUUCAUAAACACUUUAAACUCCGGCUCUUGGUCGGUCUUCUGUUGCAGCAAGGUGGCGGCGUUCAGCUGGCAGCUGCAGAAGCGGAUGUAGGCCUGCAUUUGAGAGAGCUCGGCGGCUAGGAUGUCCCCGAUCAUCUGCACGGGCAUCUUUUCUCCUCCCAUCUUCUUCCUCACACGGAAAGCCCUGCGCCACACGAAAACAGAAAGCCAUGGAAAGUGAACGAUGAGCAUCAACAGUCGUGCCUGAUAAUUCAGCAGUAAUCCAGAGAAGGUGUCCUCAAACUCUUUAGACUAAAAGAGAGCGUGGAUGCCACUCAAGCUGGUUCUGGUUGGUUUCAGAUGCUGGCCAGGCUGGUCUGAUGUGAUUUUCCAAAUUUUGGAGCCAUUUAGUCAAAAGAGCAAUUUGUGAGGUCAGGCACUGACGCUGCCCGAGGAGGCCCAACAGGCAGUUCCAUUUCAUCCCAAAGGUGUUAAUUGGGGUUAGGUCAAAGCGAAGUUUCAAACCAAACUUGUUAAAUCAUGACUUCUUGGAACUCGCCUUCUAAUUUCCAAAAGUGCAGAGGUGCAGCGUUGAUUGUUAGGUGCAGAGUACCUACUUGAGCAGCUUGGUGUUGGACAUGAUGAGCUCCUUCCAGUUGACAAAAAUCAUGUUCAUCUCGGCUUCCGUGAGCCGUCCCGACUCGGUCAUCGGCUUCUGAAACACCUUAAAGCAAGAAAAAUCACAUUUUAAAAACCUUUAGUCUAAUAAUUAAUAAUUAAUAUUGGUUAUUAUACAACCUCCUAGCUUGUUGAAAUGCAACAGUGGAAAACAGGGGCUACUGUCUGUUUCAAAUCAUUAAAUCUCAAGACUUAAUGGCAUACACAUCCCUUCCAAGAGUAAACACAUAUUAUUAUGCUA